RNAcentral lists this ribosomal RNA (253 nucleotides) under uncultured bacterium. RNAcentral describes it as "partial 16S ribosomal RNA". It matches the Rfam family "Bacterial small subunit ribosomal RNA", at positions 524 to 776 of the family's 1533-position model. The record is from RNAcentral.
UACGUAGGUGGCGAGCGUUGUCCGGAAUUACUGGGUGUAAAGGGCGUGUAGGCGGGGCGGCAAGUCAGAUGUGAAAUUCCGGGGCUUAACCCCGGCGCUGCAUCUGAAACUGUCGUUCUUGAGUGUCGGAGAGGAAAGUGGAAUUCCCAGUGUAGCGGUGAAAUGCGUAGAGAUUGGGAGGAACACCAGUGGCGAAGGCGGCUUUCUGGACGAUAACUGACGCUGAGGCGCGAAAGCGUGGGGGGCAAACAGG